RNAcentral lists this long non-coding RNA (202 nucleotides) under Cebus imitator (Panamanian white-faced capuchin). RNAcentral describes it as "Six3os1 conserved region 7 (ENSCCAG00000001026.1)". It matches the Rfam family "Six3os1 conserved region 7". Lineage: Eukaryota; Metazoa; Chordata; Mammalia; Primates; Cebidae. The record is from RNAcentral.
UAGACCCGGCGCCUUGCCCCCAGAUCUGCAUCGGAAUGCAGAAAAGAUCUUUAAAAAAAAAAAAAAAAGAGUUUUGAAUUCCUCAAUGAUUUUUCUUCUGGAAAGGCAGCUUAGGAUAAUUAUUUCAGCUUUAUUGAGGGCAGAUUAGUUGAAGUCUGGGCGCUGCGUUUCAAUACGCGUUGUACACGGGCCGACAAUGUGG